Molecule: long non-coding RNA, 414 nt
Organism: Chinchilla lanigera (long-tailed chinchilla)
Lineage: Eukaryota; Metazoa; Chordata; Mammalia; Rodentia; Chinchillidae
Exons: 4
Source: RefSeq, a predicted model, not a curated record
CCUAUAGUGGCCUGUGAAGCUGUGAUGCCUCAAAGGAGAAGACAAGGCCACAACUAAGAACACCUGGCUCCAACAUCAUUUAAGUAGCCAGUCUCCAACAGCAUGACCCUGGUCAGCACUGUCCAGUUCUGCUGAGGAUAACACCUUUCAGCCUAAGACUUCAGAAUUUCAGCAUAUGAUAAAAUGGAAGCCAAGAAAAUCAGAGCAGCCUUGUAGCUAGAAGGUGGAAGAAACUGUAUUAGAAAAAAAUAGACAAGGAUCUCUGAUCUUAAGUUCGACACCUAACUGGGAUGAGAAGACUAACUUUUGCAAGAUGAUCAGCAAAUAGUAAUCCUUAUGGUUCAUGGAUUUGGGAGCCAAUGAUAAGGAGCUAAGCAGGAACAAGGUCCCCAGACCUGCAGCAAACAAGGAGAA